CCUGUUCGUGACGACAUUCUCUGUUCCUUU
RNAcentral lists this non-coding RNA (30 nucleotides) under Cricetulus griseus (Chinese hamster). Lineage: Eukaryota; Metazoa; Chordata; Mammalia; Rodentia; Cricetidae. The record is from RNAcentral.